UUACGGCCGUAUCCCGUAGAAACAUUGGUUCCCACACGAUCACCGAAGUUCAGCAACAUCUAGCCUGGUCAGUAUCUAAAUGGAUGACCGCUUGGGAAUACCAGGUGUGGUAAG
Non-coding RNA from Acanthosepion pharaonis, 114 nucleotides. The record is from the annotation of a GenBank genome assembly. NCBI's taxonomy places the organism in Eukaryota, Metazoa, Mollusca, Cephalopoda, Sepiida, Sepiidae.